UCCACGUAGCGGUUUUGAACUUGCGUGCACGCGGCGUCCACGCAUUUGCGGCAGGAAGUACCCAACAUCACAUAGAAUCAUGCACACGCACUUGCGUUAACGCGGCGUCGACUCGCGUCUCAUUUGCGGCGAAAGUUACCGCAAAGUCACCGCUUUUCCCCACAGGAACGCAGCGUGCACGCGAGUAGUUUUUGACAUUUCUCUAUUCUUUUUCUUUCCAACAAGAUUUCUAAUGGGAAAAUCUGCAGAAAGAAUCUGUCAGAGCGAAAUCAAAACAAACAAAAAUACUUCGCAAAUCAGUUCAUUUUGGUUUCGCAAAUUAGUUUGCAAAUAACAAAACGUUUCAAAUCUAACUUUUUUAAAUAAUAGUGCUAGUAAUAGUUCGGAGCAGCAAAUGUUUCUUUCGCUCCUAUGUUAAUACCAGCCGUGAUCAACACACCUUUGGAAAGAAGUGACAAGCAAACAUCCCAGGCUGGCGAAUAGUGUUAAAGUCAACCGAAAUAUGUGUGCGAUAGUGACGUUGAUUGUACCAACUUUAUCAGAAUAAAUUGAUUUCCGAACAGACAGCGAUGUGACAGUUUUUGACUGAAUGACGGAGCAGACGAAAUUCAACCAACAAAGUGUAUUCCGCGGAACCCUACACCAAGGCAGGCGAUACCAGUUCCAUGGGAAGAAUAAUAAAUGAAUGUUGACGGAAGGAUGUCGUCAAACAAUGUGGAUUGCGAUUGCAAAAAGAAACGGGACCACAUGAUGAGAUGGUGGCGAGCCACAGUAAGACUCCGGGAUCUGUGCGACUCUUCUAGUGUUGUGGGGCAACGCUAUUGCGGUCGAACAAAAUAAUGAUUCGUCCCUAUCUAGCCGAUAUAUUAAAUGAUUAAAGAAUCGUACCC
Armigeres subalbatus is the source of this 890-nucleotide long non-coding RNA. RefSeq lists it as uncharacterized. The transcript has 3 exons. Lineage: Eukaryota; Metazoa; Arthropoda; Insecta; Diptera; Culicidae. The record is from RefSeq and is a predicted model, not a curated record.